Molecule: ribosomal RNA, 590 nt
Filed under: Hanseniaspora thailandica (nom. inval.)
Lineage: Eukaryota; Fungi; Ascomycota; Saccharomycetes; Saccharomycodales; Saccharomycodaceae
Description: Hanseniaspora thailandica partial 26S ribosomal RNA
Rfam family: Eukaryotic large subunit ribosomal RNA
Source: RNAcentral
GAGGAAAAGAAACCAACUGGGAUUACCUUAGUAACGGCGAGUGAAGCGGUAAAAGCUCAAAUUUGAAAUCUGGUACUUUCAGUGCCCGAGUUGUAAUUUGUAGAAUUUGUCUUUGAUUAGGUCCUUGUCUAUGUUCCUUGGAACAGGACGUCAUAGAGGGUGAGAAUCCCGUUUGGCGAGGAUACCUUUUCUCUGUAAGACUUUUUCGAAGAGUCGAGUUGUUUGGGAAUGCAGCUCAAAGUGGGUGGUAAAUUCCAUCUAAAGCUAAAUAUUGGCGAGAGACCGAUAGCGAACAAGUACAGUGAUGGAAAGAUGAAAAGAACUUUGAAAAGAGAGUGAAAAAGUACGUGAAAUUGUUGAAAGGGAAGGGCAUUUGAUCAGACAUGGUGUUUUUUUAAUGUGCAAGUCUCUCGUGGACAUGUGCCUCUGGAAAUUAACACUGGGCCAACAUCAGUUCUGGCGGCAGGAUAAAUCAUUAAGAAUGUAGCUACCUCGGUAGUGUUAUAGCUUUUUGGAAUACUGCCAGCUGGGAUUGAGGACUGCGCUUCGGCAAGGAUGUUGGCAUAAUGGUUAAAUGCCGCCCGUCUUGA